AUGUUGAUGCAAGACUACUUCGCGGAGAAUCCUACAUAUCCACCACACCUCUUCCGGAGAAGGUACCGAAUGCACCGAUCUCUUUUUGUGAAAAUUGUUCAAGCUUGCAAGACAAAUUGCCGGUACUUUACUCAAAGAAGAAAUGCUACGGGCUUAAAGGGAUUUAGUGCAUAUCAAAAAAUCUCCGCAGCUAUGCGGGUGAUUGUGAAGGAAAUAUGCCCUAGAGGCAAUAAUAAAGUUAUUAUUUAUUUCCUUAUUUCAUGA
RNAcentral lists this ribosomal RNA (264 nucleotides) under Triticum aestivum (bread wheat). RNAcentral describes it as "partial small subunit ribosomal RNA". The record is from RNAcentral. Lineage: Eukaryota; Viridiplantae; Streptophyta; Magnoliopsida; Poales; Poaceae.